RNAcentral lists this unclassified non-coding RNA (401 nucleotides) under soil metagenome. RNAcentral describes it as "partial contains 5.8S ribosomal RNA, internal transcribed spacer 2, and large subunit ribosomal RNA". The stretch from base 1 to 122 matches the Rfam family "5.8S ribosomal RNA", at positions 35 to 154 of the family's 154-position model. The record is from RNAcentral.
GAUGAAGAACGUAGCAAAAUGCGAUACUUGGUGUGAAUUGCAGAAUCCCGUGAACCAUCGAGUUUUUGAACGCAAGUUGCGCCCGAAGCCUUUUGGCCGAGGGCACGUCUGCCUGGGCGUCACGCAUCGCGUCGCCCCCCACAAUUCUCCGUAAAGGGAACAUGUGUUUUGGGGGCGGAUAUUGGUCUCCCGUGCUCAUGGCGUGGUUGGCCGAAAUAGGAGUCCUUUCGAUGGACGCACGAACUAGUGGUGGUCGUAAAAACCCUCGUCUUUUGUUUCGUGCUGUUGCUCGCAAGGUAAACUCUUUAAAAACCCCAAUGUGUCGUCUCUUGACGACGCUUCGACCGCGACCCCAGGUCAGGCGGGACUACCCGCUGAGUUUAAGCAUAUCAAGCGGAGGA